UUAAGUUAUUAAGGGCGCACGGUGGAUGCCUUGGCACUAGAAGCCGAUGAAGGACGUUACUAACGACGAUAUGCUUUGGGGAGCUGUAAGUAAGCUUUGAUCCAGAGAUUUCCGAAUGGGGAAACCCAGCAUGAGUUAUGUCAUGUUAUCGAUAUGUGAAUACAUAGCAUAUCAGAAGGCACACCCGGAGAACUGAAACAUCUUAGUACCCGGAGGAAGAGAAAGAAAAUUCGAUUCCCUUAGUAGCGGCGAGCGAAACGGGAAGAGCCCAAACCAACAAGCUUGCUUGUUGGGGUUGUAGGACACUCUAUACGGAGUUACAAAGGACGACAUUAGACGAAUCAUCUGGAAAGAUGAAUCAAAGAAGGUAAUAAUCCUGUAGUCGAAAAUGUUGUCUCUCUUGAGUGGAUCCUGAGUACGACGGAGCACGUGAAAUUCCGUCGGAAUCUGGGAGGACCAUCUCCUAAGGCUAAAUACUCUCUAGUGACCGAUAGUGAACCAGUACCGUGAGGGAAAGGUGAAAAGCACCCCGGAAGGGGAGUGAAAUAGAACCUGAAACCGUGUGCUUACAAGUAGUCAGAGCCCGUUAAUGGGUGAUGGCGUGCCUUUUGUAGAAUGAACCGGCGAGUUACGAUUUGAUGCAAGGUUAAGCAGUAAAUGUGGAGCCGUAGCGAAAGCGAGUCUGAAUAGGGCGUUUAGUAUUUGGUCGUAGACCCGAAACCAGGUGAUCUACCCUUGGUCAGGUUGAAGUUCAGGUAACACUGAAUGGAGGACCGAACCGACUUACGUUGAAAAGUGAGCGGAUGAACUGAGGGUAGCGGAGAAAUUCCAAUCGAACCUGGAGAUAGCUGGUUCUCUCCGAAAUAGCUUUAGGGCUAGCCUCAAGUGAUGAUUAUUGGAGGUAGAGCACUGUUUGGACGAGGGGCCCCUCUCGGGUUACCGAAUUCAGACAAACUCCGAAUGCCAAUUAAUUUAACUUGGGAGUCAGAACAUGGGUGAUAAGGUCCGUGUUCGAAAGGGAAACAGCCCAGACCACCAGCUAAGGUCCCAAAAUAUAUGUUAAGUGGAAAAGGAUGUGGCGUUGCCCAGACAACUAGGAUGUUGGCUUAGAAGCAGCCAUCAUUUAAAGAGUGCGUAAUAGCUCACUAGUCGAGUGACACUGCGCCGAAAAUGUACCGGGGCUAAACAUAUUACCGAAGCUGUGGAUUGUCCUUUGGACAAUGGUAGGAGAGCGUUCUAAGGGCGUUGAAGCAUGAUCGUAAGGACAUGUGGAGCGCUUAGAAGUGAGAAUGCCGGUGUGAGUAGCGAAAGACGGGUGAGAAUCCCGUCCACCGAUUGACUAAGGUUUCCAGAGGAAGGCUCGUCCGCUCUGGGUUAGUCGGGUCCUAAGCUGAGGCCGACAGGCGUAGGCGAUGGAUAACAGGUUGAUAUUCCUGUACCACCUAUAAUCGUUUUAAUCGAUGGGGGGACGCAGUAGGAUAGGCGAAGCGUGCGAUUGGAUUGCACGUCUAAGCAGUAAGGCUGAGUAUUAGGCAAAUCCGGUACUCGUUAAGGCUGAGCUGUGAUGGGGAGAAGACAUUGUGUCUUCGAGUCGUUGAUUUCACACUGCCGAGAAAAGCCUCUAGAUAGAAAAUAGGUGCCCGUACCGCAAACCGACACAGGUAGUCAAGAUGAGAAUUCUAAGGUGAGCGAGCGAACUCUCGUUAAGGAACUCGGCAAAAUGACCCCGUAACUUCGGGAGAAGGGGUGCUCUUUAGGGUUAACGCCCAGAAGAGCCGCAGUGAAUAGGCCCAAGCGACUGUUUAUCAAAAACACAGGUCUCUGCUAAACCGUAAGGUGAUGUAUAGGGGCUGACGCCUGCCCGGUGCUGGAAGGUUAAGAGGAGUGGUUAGCUUCUGCGAAGCUACGAAUCGAAGCCCCAGUAAACGGCGGCCGUAACUAUAACGGUCCUAAGGUAGCGAAAUUCCUUGUCGGGUAAGUUCCGACCCGCACGAAAGGCGUAACGAUUUGGGCACUGUCUCAACGAGAGACUCGGUGAAAUCAUAGUACCUGUGAAGAUGCAGGUUACCCGCGACAGGACGGAAAGACCCCGUGGAGCUUUACUGUAGCCUGAUAUUGAAAUUCGGCACAGCUUGUACAGGAUAGGUAGGAGCCUUUGAAACGUGAGCGCUAGCUUACGUGGAGGCGCUGGUGGGAUACUACCCUAGCUGUGUUGGCUUUCUAACCCGCACCACUUAUCGUGGUGGGAGACAGUGUCAGGCGGGCAGUUUGACUGGGGCGGUCGCCUCCUAAAAGGUAACGGAGGCGCUCAAAGGUUCCCUCAGAAUGGUUGGAAAUCAUUCAUAGAGUGUAAAGGCAUAAGGGAGCUUGACUGCGAGACCUACAAGUCGAGCAGGGUCGAAAGACGGACUUAGUGAUCCGGUGGUUCCGCAUGGAAGGGCCAUCGCUCAACGGAUAAAAGCUACCCCGGGGAUAACAGGCUUAUCUCCCCCAAGAGUUCACAUCGACGGGGAGGUUUGGCACCUCGAUGUCGGCUCAUCGCAUCCUGGGGCUGUAGUCGGUCCCAAGGGUUGGGCUGUUCGCCCAUUAAAGCGGUACGCGAGCUGGGUUCAGAACGUCGUGAGACAGUUCGGUCCCUAUCCGUCGUGGGCGUAGGAAAUUUGAGAGGAGCUGUCCUUAGUACGAGAGGACCGGGAUGGACAUACCUCUGGUGUACCAGUUGUCGUGCCAACGGCAUAGCUGGGUAGCUAUGUGUGGACGGGAUAAGUGCUGAAAGCAUCUAAGCAUGAAGCCCCCCUCAAGAUGAGAUUUCCCAACUUCGGUUAUAAGAUCCCUCAAAGAUGAUGAGGU
Molecule: ribosomal RNA, 2850 nt
Filed under: Staphylococcus aureus M0744
Lineage: Bacteria; Bacillati; Bacillota; Bacilli; Caryophanales; Staphylococcaceae
Also listed under: 1 other name
Description: bacterial LSU rRNA
Rfam family: Bacterial large subunit ribosomal RNA
Source: RNAcentral